UGAGGAAUAUUGGUCAAUGGGCGGAAGCCUGAACCAGCCAAGUCGCGUGAAGGAUGAAGGUUCUAUGGAUCGUAAACUUCUUUUAUAGGGGAAUAAAGUGCACCACGAGUGGUGUUUUGUAUGUACCCUAGGAAUAAGCCCCGGCUAACUACGUGCCAGCAGCCGCGGUAAUACGUAGGGGGCAAGCGUUAUCCGGAUUUACUGGGUGUAAAGGGAGCGUAGACGGUACUGCAAGUCUGAAGUGAAAGCCCGGGGCUCAACCCCGGGACUGCUUUGGAAACGGUCAUGCUUGAAUCAUGGAGAGGGUAGCGGAAUUCCGAGUGUAGAGGUGAAAUUCGUAGAUAUUCGGAAGAACACCGGUGGCGAAGGCGGCUACCUGGCCAUGUAUUGACGCUCAGGUGCGAAAGCGUGGGGAGCAAACA
This 422-nucleotide ribosomal RNA is filed under the name uncultured bacterium. RNAcentral describes it as "bacterial SSU rRNA". It matches the Rfam family "Bacterial small subunit ribosomal RNA", at positions 355 to 774 of the family's 1533-position model. The record is from RNAcentral.